AAAAAAAAGGCAGAUUUCUCUAGCCACUUACCAAAAUCAACAGGAACAUAGGAUUAGAAUAAUUUUCUCGUCUGGAAAAGAAAAACAAAGUGCAGAAAGGCAACUGCAAAAUGGCGCACGAAUGGAACAAACACAAGGAGAGACCAGUUUGAAGAUUCCAAAGGUUCUAGUGCUGCACCCUCAUGUUGUGACACUUAGACCAGACAAUUAUUCCUCAGUUCCUCAAAUUGCUAGCACUAGUACAUAAGUAACCUCAACGGUCUGUAAAACUCAUUCCUAAAUGAUAAGUGUAUUUAUUACACUUACCUCGGUCGUUAAACUAGAGCAAUUAUUGUUAUUUUAAAUGAAUUGAGGCUUAAUUUUGUAUAUAUUUCAUUUGUUAGGUGCAUCUCGAUGAAAACGAUGGAAAUGAAAAAAAGGAGUGAAAAUUUGACAAAAAAAGACUGAAUCCAAAGAUUGGAGACUAAAUUGCAAAGUGCUAAUAGUUGAUUAGGACCCAAUAUCGAUGAUUGGAGAAGGCAUGGACUCAAUUACAUGGAAUUGGAAGCUAAAGGACCAAGAAGACAUCAAAAGAGAGCUAAAAUGAAUGAAAACCUAAAUUGAGGGACCAAAGUGCAACAAAUGAAGAUUUUUAUAAUGGCGUGCGCGCGAGAGGCCCCGGUGUGCAUUUACCAAGAGGAAGUCAGUAGCCAACGUGUGCGCGGUGGAACAUAUGGUACGCGGGGGGGAAAUCUAGGUCUGAACGGCCAAGCAUCUGUUUUUGACCUAAACUUUUAUGAAAACCAAAUUUAACCUAUUAUUUAACCUACAAGAUGCGGCUAGAACGGGACACACAUUAUUGUACAUAUUUUUACCACAAGGAAGAGGCUAGAACGCGAUUCAAAGGCGAUUAACACGAGAGAUUGAGGAUUCAAAGCUUUGGUUGAAGAUUAACAAAGAAGAAAUUGAUUUUUCACUUUCCAAUCAUUGUUUUCAAUUCCGAGUGAUGUUUUUCCAAAUCUUUUCAUGUGAUUUAUUACAUAAUAUGUUA
RNAcentral lists this long non-coding RNA (1030 nucleotides) under Olea europaea (common olive). Its description in RNAcentral is "long non-coding RNA (OEUR_LNC013763)". Lineage: Eukaryota; Viridiplantae; Streptophyta; Magnoliopsida; Lamiales; Oleaceae. The record is from RNAcentral.